Molecule: long non-coding RNA, 587 nt
Filed under: Citrus x clementina
Lineage: Eukaryota; Viridiplantae; Streptophyta; Magnoliopsida; Sapindales; Rutaceae
Description: Citrus clementina (C. clementina) long non-coding RNA (CCLE_LNC001076)
Source: RNAcentral
GUUAGGAGUAAAAGUAAACUUUCACUAUAAACUCUAUUAAAACUUCUAUUACUCUUAAUAGUUUGGUAGUAAAAUGAUAAAAAUAAAAACAAUAGGUGAAAGAAAGAGUAAUUGUAAAAAAAAAAAAUUUAGUAAUAAAGUGAUAUGUCAACAAAUUUUAGGUGGUAAAAAAAAUAAUGCCCUUUAUAAAAAAAAAAUCAUUUGGUAGCUGAAAACUAUUUUCUUAUCUCUAUAAUGUCCGAGUUUCCAUCAUUGACAUCUUAAUUUCUAGCUAGGACAAUUGAUAAGCAAGAAAAACAGAGGAGGCUAAUCCAAAUUACACCAUUUUAUUAAUUGCUAAACACAUUAAAUGAUGUCUUCGAACAUUUUAGCAUUUAUUGGUGCAUAUUGCAUGUUAAUUAUGAUUUAGACAAAUUUAAAUCAUGCAACCAGAUUCAUAUAAUGCACAUGCCAAAGCCAUGCCGAGAUCUAACUUACAAUUUCACUUUUCUCUUGUUUGAUGUCUUAGGAUUUAAUUGAGUACCUUUCAAGCAAUUUAAUUUAGCUUGUCAACCAAAUUCGAAUCCUAAGACAGUAAACAAUUUUAA